Molecule: ribosomal RNA, 468 nt
Filed under: uncultured bacterium
Lineage: Bacteria
Description: partial 16S ribosomal RNA
Rfam family: Bacterial small subunit ribosomal RNA
Source: RNAcentral
GACGAACGCUGGCGGCGUGCUUAACACAUGCAAGUCGAACGGAAAGGCCCUGCUUUUGUGGGGUGCUCGAGUGGCGAACGGGUGAGUAACACGUGAGUAACCUGCACUUGACUUUGGGAUAACUUCAGGAAACUGGGGCUAAUACCGGAUAGGAGCUCCUGCUGCAUGGUGGGGGAUGGAAAGUUUCGGCGGUUGGGGAUGGACUCGCGGCUUAUCAGCUUGUUGGUGGGGUAGUGGCUUACCAAGGCUUUGACGGGUAGCCGGCCUGAGAGGGUGACCGGCCACAUUGGUACUGAGAUACGGCCCAGACUCCUACGUGAGGCAGCAGUGGGGAAUAUUGCGCAAUGGGCGGAAGCCUGAUGCAGCAACGCCGCGUGCGGGAUGACGGCCUUCGAGUUGUAAACCGCUUUCGCCUGUGACGAGGCGUGAGUGACGGUAAUGGGUAAAGAAGCACCGGCUAACUACGUG